Molecule: ribosomal RNA, 338 nt
Filed under: uncultured fungus
Lineage: Eukaryota; Fungi
Description: partial small subunit ribosomal RNA
Rfam family: Eukaryotic small subunit ribosomal RNA
Source: RNAcentral
GCUUGUCUCAAAGAUUAAGCCAUGCAUGCCUCAGUGUAAACUUGUACACGGUGAAGAGUGGCUCAGUAAUAACCAGUUGCAGCUUACUUGGCGAUCAUUCUCUACAUGUAUAGCCAUGGUAAUUCUGCUGCGAGCACAUGCGCACACGCCCGAGUCUGUGGAAGGGUUGAUAGAAUCGUGCAGCACCCGCUGGCGAUGUGCCAUUCAGCUUUCUGACCCAUGAGCUUCCAUCGGUAGGGUGUUGGCCUACCGUGGUGAUGGCGGGUAACGAAGAAUUAGGGCUCGACUCCGGAGAGGGAGCCUGAGAAUUGGCUACCACAUCUAAGGAAGGCAGCAGG